GUGGGUGUAGCUCAAGUGGUAGAGCACAUGCUUAGCAGGCAUGCGGCCCUGGGUUCAAUCCCCAGUACUGGCC
Molecule: transfer RNA, 73 nt
Filed under: Camelus bactrianus (Bactrian camel)
Lineage: Eukaryota; Metazoa; Chordata; Mammalia; Artiodactyla; Camelidae
Also listed under: 1 other name
Rfam family: tRNA
About the family: Transfer RNA (tRNA) molecules are approximately 80 nucleotides in length. Their secondary structure includes four short double-helical elements and three loops (D, anti-codon, and T loops). Further hydrogen bonds mediate the characteristic L-shaped molecular structure. tRNAs have two regions of fundamental functional importance: the anti-codon, which is responsible for specific mRNA codon recognition, and the 3' end, to which the tRNAs corresponding amino acid is attached (by aminoacyl-tRNA synthetases). tRNAs cope with the degeneracy of the genetic code in two manners: having more than one tRNA (with a specific anti-codon) for a particular amino acid; and 'wobble' base-pairing, i.e. permitting non-standard base-pairing at the 3rd anti-codon position.
Source: Rfam by way of RNAcentral